Molecule: non-coding RNA, 895 nt
Organism: Ictidomys tridecemlineatus (thirteen-lined ground squirrel)
Lineage: Eukaryota; Metazoa; Chordata; Mammalia; Rodentia; Sciuridae
Source: RefSeq, a predicted model, not a curated record
GGGCUCUGUUCCAAACGUGCAGUGCAUAAACAAGGAAGGAAAUAAAUAGUGCCUGCUGCUUCCAUAACAAAGCCGCCCAGCGGAGCCCAGAGCCCGAGGCAGUGUGAACCCUAGGUGAGGGGGUGGGGGGACUUACAGAGGUUGCAGAGACUUGGAGAUUUGGAGCCUGGCUCUGCCUGUUCUGCUGAGUGACCUCUCUCUGCACCUCAAUUUCUUAGGAUGCCAAAUGGGGGAAAAGCCUGUUUGGCAAUCGUCAUAGAGAUGGCCAAAGCCAACGCUUCUGCAGAAAUGUUUGGGAAAAUAGGAGAACAUCAUCAAGGUCGGAUGAGGGAGCGAUGAUGGUGGUUUAUUUCUCUUGCAGCUUAGUUAUGUGAUAUUCAAUUUGCUCCUGAAAUCCAGCCGGGAAGACUAGGGAGUAUCUUCUAAAGGAGGUUCAGAGGGGAAGUGUCCAGUGUGACAUCCCUGAGCUGGCACUGCAGGCCACACCGUGUGUCUCCCAAGCCGGUGCUCUUUACUGCACUCCUCUGAGGAAAUUCAAAGACAGCUAGUGCCUGAGGCUGUUCUUCACAAGCCAGAGCAAUUCAAUGUCAGACCAGUGGAAAUCAGCAGACUCACAAAGCCCCAGCCCUGCUCCAGAGGGGACACCUCAUAUCCAAACCACAGCAAUCACCAAUGGUCAAGGAUUUACUCAAUCAUGCCCAUGUAAUGAAGCUUCCAUAACUAUCCAAAAGGACACGGUUCAUAGAGCUUCCACUGCAGAACCUGUGAAGGUGCCAUCAAGGGUGGCACACUCGCAGCAGGCAAGGAAGCCUAGAGCCCCUUCUCCCUUACCUCAUCCUGUGUUCUUCAUCUUCUAUCCUUUGUAACAUCUUCUAUAAUAAAUGGGUAAACACAA